RNAcentral lists this long non-coding RNA (340 nucleotides) under Citrus maxima (pomelo). Its description in RNAcentral is "long non-coding RNA (CMAX_LNC002913)". Lineage: Eukaryota; Viridiplantae; Streptophyta; Magnoliopsida; Sapindales; Rutaceae. The record is from RNAcentral.
CAAGAUUCCGGCAAACAAAAGCCAAAUAACCCCCAAAAAUAUAACAGCUCCAAUUAGAAACCUCAAAACACAGCCACCACUACCCAUAUGUAUCUGUCACUUUGCUUAUCUCCUAUGACCUUUUGAUGAAGAACAAUGGCUGAACAUUCAAAACAGAGAACAGGGAACCAGAAACCAUGCUGGAAUUGAGAACAGAAAAAUGCAUGUGGAGCUCUCAAAUAGGGAGUGGAGUUAACAAAAGAAGAAAAGAUGGGAAGAGAAAGCUAGUCAAGACAAGUAUGUUAAGAUGAUUUUAACUUGGCCGGUAAAGAAGUAACUGUGUCUUAUUUAAAGGUGUCAG